CUAUGGUUUAUUGGAUCGUACCCGUUAAAUGGAUAACUGUAAUAACUCUAGAGCUAAUACAUGCCUCGAUGCCCUGACCCUGUUUGCAUGCCUAGCAAGGAGGGGAUGGGUGCACUUAUUAGAUCAGAAGCCAACCAACUGCUUGCACGUGUACAGCAGUGUGUAUGCCUGUUGUUGCGUGUGUGUGCAGUUGAGAGGAGGAGUUCGCUUCUGGUGACUCUGGAUAAUUGUUACAGAUCGCAGUCGGCCUUGAGUCGGCGACGGGUCCUUCAAAUGUCUGCCCUAUCAACUGUCGAUGGUAGGCGACCUGCCUACCAUGGUGAUAACGGGUAACGGGGAAUCAGGGUUCGAUUCCGGAGAGGGAGCCUGAGAAACGGCUACCACUUCCAAGGGAGGCAGCAGGCGCGCAAAUUACCCACUCCCGGCACGGGGAGGUGGUGACGAAAAAUACCGAUGCGGGACUCCAUUAAGAGGCUCCGUAAUCGGAAUGAGUGGACUAUAAAUCCUUUCACGAGGAUCAAUUGGAGGGCAAGUCUGGUGCCAGCAGCCGCGGUAACUCCAGCUCCAAUAGCGUAUAUUAAAGCUGCUGCAGUUAAAAAGCUCGUAGUUGGAUCUCGGUAGCAUUGUCGCCUGUUGGUAAUUGAGCGGUCAGUGUGUGAUCAUUGACGAUGGCAAUGCACAGUCUCGCUGCCAGCAGUAGCACAUAGCAUGCAUACUGCGUGUGUGCAUGUAGUGGUGGUGUUAGUGGUAGUGGUGGUUGUGAGUCGGUAGUAUAGUGUUCAUCCGCUACGCGACGCAGUCGGUGCACGUGUUGGUGGGUGAGUAUGUACAUGCCAUUACUGCUGUCGCUGCUGCUAUUGCUACUGCUCUGCUCAUAGGUGGUUUUGUGUAUAUUAUGUGUUUAUGUAUGUGCGUGUGAGGAUGUGCGUGUUGUCAUGCGUUGUGGUCAUGAAGAGGCGCUGUCGUGUCAAGCCGAUAAGGUGGCGAUGUCACCUUCAAGCCAUGUCUGUGGUGUAACAACCGCAGGUGUGGACGAGUGUUAGGCGGUGUUGCUCUGCAUGCGUUGUUCGUGUAGGGCCUGUCGCCUCGUCUGCAUGCCUUUGGAUGCCCUUGAAUGAGGUGUCUGUGGGCGGAUGGCACGUUUACUUUGAACAAAUUUGAGUGCUCAAAUCAGGCCGAUGUUGCCUGAAAAGUGAUGCAUGGAAUAAUGGAAUAGGACUUCGGUUCUAUUUCGUUGGUUUUCGGAUCCGAAGUAAUGAUCAAAAGAGACAGGCGGGGACGUUUGUAUGGCUGCGCGAGAGGUGAAAUUCGUGGACCGUAGCCAGACAGACUAAAGCGAAAGCAUUCGUCAAGCAUGUUUUCAUUGACCAUGAGCGAAAGUCAGAGGCUCGAAGACGAUCAGAUACCGUCCUAGUUCUGACCAUAAACGAUGCCAACUGACGAUCCGUGGUGGUAGCAGUAUUACCUUCCCCACGGGCAGUCCCCGGGAAACCGUUAAGUGUAUGGGUUCCGGGGGAAGUAUGGUUGCAAAGCUGAAACUUAAAGGAAUUGACGGAAGGGCACCACCAGGAGUGGAGCCUGCGGCUUAAUUUGACUCAACACGGGAAAACUCACCCGGGCCGGACACUAUGAGGAUUGACAGAUUGAGAGCUCUUUCUUGAUUUGGUGCUUGGUGGUGCAUGGCCGUUCUUAGUUGGUGGAGCGAUUUGUCUGGUUAAUUCCGAUAACGAACGAGACUCCAGCCUACUAAUUAGUGCAUUUGUCCACUGCACCUGCGAAGGUGAUGUUGGAUAAUAUCGCUUGCCAUGAGUGGUGGUGAGUGGCUCUACUCGUUCCUAUCUGCUACUACUGCAUUCUACUUCUCUCUCUCUCUCUCUCUCCAUGGCUCUCGCAUUCUCCAUCGUCUGCUGCUACUGCUAGCGGUAGUGGUGGUGGAGUGUUGAGUUUAGGGGGAGGGCUUGAGGUGUGUGUGUGUAUGUGUGUAGGGUGGAUGGGUGGGUGGGUGGGGUUAUUGUCACUUCUGGUGGUAAGGUUGAUUAGUCCGGCGUUAGCCUCCGGGUGUGGCGCGAAUGCCUACUUCUUAGAGGGACAAGCGGGAGAAGCCGCACGAAAUAGAGCAAUAACAGGUCUGUGAUGCCCUUAGAUGUCCGGGGCCGCACGCGCGCUACAAUGACGGUGUCAACGAGUUAGACCUUCUGGCCCGAAAGGGUUGGGCAAACUGGUCAAUCACCGUCGUGACAGGGAUCGGGGCUUGGAAUUGUUCCCCGUGAACGAGGAAUUCCUAGUAAGUGCAAGUCAUAAGCUUGCGCUGAUUACGUCCCUGCCCUUUGUACACACCGCCCGUCGCUACUACCGAUUGAAUGGUUUAGUAAGGUCCUUGGAUUGGCGUCAUUGUGGCGCUGUGGCUGAGAGGUCGCGGUCCACGCACGCAUGCCAAGAAGACGACCGAACUUGAUCAUUUAGA
RNAcentral lists this ribosomal RNA (2464 nucleotides) under Taenia laticollis. RNAcentral describes it as "SSU rRNA". It matches the Rfam family "Eukaryotic small subunit ribosomal RNA". The record is from RNAcentral. Lineage: Eukaryota; Metazoa; Platyhelminthes; Cestoda; Cyclophyllidea; Taeniidae.